This 1421-nucleotide long non-coding RNA is filed under the name Homo sapiens (human). Its description in RNAcentral is "HSALNT0016855". Lineage: Eukaryota; Metazoa; Chordata; Mammalia; Primates; Hominidae. The record is from RNAcentral.
GGCGUGAGCCACUGCGCCCGGCCUGAAUUCUUUAACUAGCUAUGAUUGUCUAUGUGACUCAAAUAACACUUAUAUACUGUGAUGUAAAGUUAGUGUUUUACACACAUAUGUUUAAAUCUCUAACGAGAUAAUGUAUUUCUUAUGAUCUGAAACCUAGUUUUAUAUCCUUCUUACUGCUCCCUUCCCACUGUGGUGGUUAGUACAAAUCUGGCCCCAUGUCAGGUGCUCAAAGAUUACUUGAUACGUUAUUUGACGAUUUCAGAAGAUUCCAUGAAGCUCAUCACCAGAACUCAGGCACGUGGCCACAUCUAACAGCAAGGGAGUCUGGAAAACACAGUUCAGCUGUGUGAAGGAUAUUUAUAAACAUUUAGCAAGAUCCAAAGGAAUGGACCAUAGCACAGCCCUGUUUUCUUUAGACGCUGACUCCUGCUGUCUACCAGAUCCUCGUGGUACAAUGACUGGUGUAGACUGGCUUGUUGAAGUCACUCUCUGGAUCUGAGCAACGCUGGCUGAGCCGUGAUGAAGUAUUCCUAUCCAUCCACUAUGCUUCACAGUGGGAAUCUCUCACUGUUCAUCACCGCUGCCCUAGCAGCCGCAGGGAUUCUUCACCCAUGGUUGCUUAGGUUUAUAAGCAAGGAAGCUGAAUGAAGUCCCUUUCCUCUCUGGAUGAGCCCCUGGGUUUCUGGAAGAGUCUUAAAAUCACCCCUAAAUGGCUUCCAAGCACUGAAGCCCGAGAUGUUAGCUGGCCUGUGUGAGGCCUUGAGACAGAAUGCCACAGCCACACCCCAAGGAUGCUGAAGGGGAUUUCCCUCCUCUGUGGUUUUUCUCCUUUCUUCCCGCAGCACUCCUCCUACGUGCUAACAUCUUCUAGUCAAACAACUCUCCUUUUCAAAGGGACCAGGCACAGUUUCUGCUUAUCCCUGAGUAGCAGUGUUCAGUUUCCUGCCAGCCUGUGGAGUUUUUCAAACAAGCCAAUCACCUCCUCCUGUGGGAACUGAGAAGCACCCCACCCUCUCGAUACUACAAAGCCCCUGCUUGUUCCCUAGUGCAACUCCCAUGUGGUCCUGUGGAGCAUAUGGUAUCUUCCUCUUCUGGGCAGUGAGCAUAUGUGACUAAUAAACUAUCUAUCUCAUCUGUUCAGUGCCAGGUGUCAUUUGUUCUGCCAUCCCAUGACCUAGGGUGGGGAUUCCUUCCACACCAACAGGGUGAAUGCAAGGUGAUUAAAACAAGAAGCCUCUUCAGGAUCUAUAUCCUAGGGAAAAAAUUAAACAACAACAACAAAACAAGAAGCUUCAACUCUGACCCUGUAUUCCAGAUGUGUUACAGGGGCCUGUCUCCCCAGAGCCACUCUCCAGGUCAGAGCUUACCUCCCCUUGCUCAGGGUUAGGAGCUCUGGGCAGGAAAAGGACAUCAUGUUAAAA